RNAcentral lists this ribosomal RNA (405 nucleotides) under uncultured bacterium. Its description in RNAcentral is "partial 16S ribosomal RNA". It matches the Rfam family "Bacterial small subunit ribosomal RNA", at positions 30 to 526 of the family's 1533-position model. The record is from RNAcentral.
AUUGAACGCUGGCGGCAGGCUUAACACAUGCAAGUCGAACGAGUGGCGGACGGGUGAGUAAUGCUUGGGAAUCUAGCUUAUGGAGGGGGAUGAAUACGGGAACCUGUAUCUAAUACCGCGUACCAUAGGAUGAGCCCAAGUGGGAUUAGGUAGUUGGUGAGGUAAAGGCUCACCAAGCCGACGAUCUCUAGCUGGUGUGAGAGGAUUACCAGUCAAACGGGGACUGAGCAACGGCCCAGAGUCCGACGGGAGGCAGCGUGGGGGAAUAUUGCGGAGUGGGGGAAACCUGACGCUGCUCUGCCGCGUGAAUGAACAAGGCGUUCGCGUUGGAAAGUUUUUGCGGGAGAAAGGCCUUAACGACAGAAGAAGUCCAGGGUAACUCCGUGCCAGCAGCCGCGGUAAUAC